Molecule: non-coding RNA, 117 nt
Organism: Homo sapiens (human)
Lineage: Eukaryota; Metazoa; Chordata; Mammalia; Primates; Hominidae
Rfam family: Metazoan signal recognition particle RNA
About the family: The signal recognition particle (SRP) is a universally conserved ribonucleoprotein. It is involved in the co-translational targeting of proteins to membranes. The eukaryotic SRP consists of a 300-nucleotide 7S RNA and six proteins: SRPs 72, 68, 54, 19, 14, and 9.
Source: Rfam
GCUGGGCAUGUUGGCUCGUGCCUGUAAUCCCAGCACUUUGGGAGGCUGAGGCAGGAGGCUCGCUUGAGCCCAAGAGUUCGAGACCAGCCUGGGCAACAUAGUGAGACCCUGUCUCUA